This 805-nucleotide long non-coding RNA is filed under the name Sinocyclocheilus grahami. RNAcentral's name for it is "lncRNA (ENSSGRG00000030827.1)". The record is from RNAcentral. Lineage: Eukaryota; Metazoa; Chordata; Actinopteri; Cypriniformes; Cyprinidae.
AUCCUUAUGAAUGCAAUGAGGACUUUUAUUUUGGCAGAUGAGCAGAUCUGUCUGUCUGGGUUUCACCCAUCACAUCUUCAUCACAUUCGGACAUAUAAUCACUGUUUUCCAUCUCUCCUGCCGCUGUCAUCGCCUGUUUUUCGAUCCAGGAUAAUUAUCUACCUUUUUACCGUCGCGUGGUCCACUAUAUGUGUUUCAGCAGCAGAAAUGGACAACAGCUCGACGACUUGUCCAUUUGACACACAGGGCUACAGUUCAACAUUUAAGCGGAAACGAACAGUGGAAGAUUUCAACAAGUUCUGUACUUUUGUGCUCGCAUAUGCCGGUUAUAUUCCUUAUCCACAGGAGAAAUGGUGGUGGCUCUUAUGUCAUGGCCGCUGAGAGACAUCCCCCCUCCAAAAAAACCUCAGCCCUCCCUCCCUGGGUAAGAGGGCCACUCCAGUCUCCUCCAUUCUCAUCCCAGACCUUGUCUCUUAAGUGCCAUUCUUCACAACAGCAGUGUGUGUGCAUCCACAAACACUUCAGUUUCAGGUCUUCCCUUUAAUGGAUCCUUCAAAUGGAUGGAGGCUAAAUCAAGGAAAAUCUGUUGCAGGGAAAUGCAUGAGGGCCGAUAAUUGCCCCAAAUGUUCCAAAACCCAGUGUGCUGUCUACAUAGGGUGCUGCCUUCUAAGGAAACAUCCUAUCUGCUAACAUACAGUGCAUGGGACACUCAACUCUCAAAUGACACUGGCAUGAUGGUUAGAUAAUAAUAAAAUGGGGGUACAUAUAUAUAUAUAUAUAUAUAUAUAUAUAUAUAUACAUAAAA